Molecule: ribosomal RNA, 141 nt
Filed under: uncultured eukaryote
Lineage: Eukaryota
Description: partial 18S ribosomal RNA
Rfam family: Eukaryotic small subunit ribosomal RNA
Source: RNAcentral
UGGUGGAGUGAUUUGUCUGGUUAAUUCCGUUAACGAACGAGACCUCGACCUGCUAAAUAGUUUGGCAAAUCUUUCGGGAUUUGUUCACGCUUCUUAGAGGGACUAUCGGUGUGUAGCCGAUGGAAGUUCGAGGCAAUAACA